Long non-coding RNA from Anguilla rostrata (American eel), 224 nucleotides. RefSeq lists it as uncharacterized. The transcript is spliced from 3 exons. NCBI's taxonomy places the organism in Eukaryota, Metazoa, Chordata, Actinopteri, Anguilliformes, Anguillidae. The record is from RefSeq and is a predicted model, not a curated record.
AGUGACCAAAGAUGCUGCAAACGUGAAGGAAGAACUGGCAAAGAUCACUUUGAAGAAACCCGAUAAAGAAACUGACAAAGCUGAUGAAGACACCGCAAAAGCAAAGGAUAUACUGGCAAAGAAAGCUUCAAAGAAGAUUACAGAUGACACAAAAAUGGACAAAGAUGCCGCAAAAGUUAAGGACAAAGUGGCAAAGAACACUUCAAAGAAAAAUGCAGACAAAG